RNAcentral lists this long non-coding RNA (417 nucleotides) under Gossypium barbadense (sea-island cotton). RNAcentral describes it as "long non-coding RNA (GBAR_LNC014045)". The record is from RNAcentral. Lineage: Eukaryota; Viridiplantae; Streptophyta; Magnoliopsida; Malvales; Malvaceae.
GUGUCAACUCAUGAGGACCCAGGUGAACCCAGGACGAGUUGGGCUGCUGUGUACUCGACUCAUUUAGGAACCGGGUUGACUCGACGACUCACUCCUUCCGGAAUCGCCGACUUUAGCCCCGCCGUGUCUCCGUCUGGGGUUUGGACAGCUGUGGCUUCGUAUGGGAAAGAAGGGUGGGGUGGGGAAGUGGAAGAACUGAGUACUGAUAUUUAUGUUUUCUUGACUCGUGAUGGGACUCACCGAGUCAAGGUUGUUGAACACGGUGGGUGGCCGUGUUGGGUUGAUGACUCAACUCUAUACUUCCAUAGGAGAAGUGAAGACCAGUGGAUAAGCGUUUACAAAGCAACUUUCCCUAAAGACAAACCCGUUUCUACCGAGUUGGUGACGAUUCAGCGAGUCACACCACCGGGUCUCCAC